RNAcentral lists this unclassified non-coding RNA (2560 nucleotides) under Hevea brasiliensis (rubber tree). Lineage: Eukaryota; Viridiplantae; Streptophyta; Magnoliopsida; Malpighiales; Euphorbiaceae. The record is from RNAcentral.
GCCCUCUCCACUCUCCUUAUACCAUUCUAGGGUUUUGUCCUUCUGGUACUCACGUUUCACAGAGCUCACUCUAUCAUACACACGCAGAGCUGAGAGAUGUGGAGAUCCAUAGCUGCUACAUCCAAACAGUUGGCACGGAAUUUUGGUGUAACCAGAAACCCCGACAAGGUUAGGGUUUCCUUGCUUCCUUAUCCAAACUUUAGAUUUCUCUCAAACUCGUCCGUGAACGUCGACCAAUUCGGCCCUGCGAACGAUUCUUCAGCAUUUUUCAGGGGAAAUAGUGAUACCCAAAUCCAGAGUUUUGCUUCUGAAGGAGAUGCUGAUGGUUUAUCAGAGCAGUUUUCACAGGCUUUAGGUGAAAAUGGCGAUUACCAGAUUGAGAAUUUUGCUUCUGUGAGUGAUAACAUUGGCACGCCUGAUCAGCUUUUUAGGGGUUUAGUUGAGGAAGGUGAGGGUGGAAAAGAAGAGGCAGGGGUUUAUGAGAUAGAUAUGGAGAAAUUAGAGAAUGUGUUGUCUUUGUUACAGAGUAGUGCUGACGGGUCCUUAGAAUCAAGUCUUGAUAGUAUGGGUUUGGAUUUACACGAGGAGUUUUUAAUGAAAGUGCUUGAAACCCCUUUUGUUUUGGGUGAUAAUUUGAUUAGGUUUUUCAAGUGGGCGAUUAAGGAGCCAGAUAUCAAUGCGACUACCCGUUUAGUUGAUGUACUUGUUCGAGCUAUUUGCAGUGACCUCAAAAAGAAAGAUGCAUAUGCAUUGUGGGAUUUAAUUAGGGAGGUUUCUGAGAAGGAUAAUGUUGUGCUGAAUGUGGAGAUUCUUAAUCGGUUGAUAGCUUUGUUUUCGAAGCGGGGAAAAGGGAAGGCGACUUUAGAGGUUUUCAACAAGUUUGGGGGACUCUGGGUGUGUCCCGGAUUCAGAGACCUACUAUUAAACAAUUGAAGCCCUUUGUAGGCGAUCCUUUUUUGAGUGGGCUUGGUCAGUUUGUGAGAAGAUGCUCAAUGCAGAAGCCUUGCCUGACAGUGAGAAAGUUGGUAAGAUUAUCUGUUGGUUUUGUAAAGGGAGCAGAGCAAAUGAUGCCCAUAUGAUUUAUAUGCUGGCGAAGGAGAAGAACAAGUAUCCAUCUCAGUCUGCAGUCACUUUUCUGAUUUGUUUGCUUUCGCGGAAAGAUGAAACAGUUAAAUUAUGUUUGGAUAUGUUGGAUUCCUUCUCUAGAGAAACACGGAAGUAUGCAAUCAAGCCCUUUUCAUCUGUUUUUUGCGGUUUUUGUAGGAUCAAAGAUUUUGACAGGGCAAAAAUGUUACUAACCAAUAUGAUUGAUGAGGGCCCACCUCCUGGAAAUGCUGUUUUCAAUACCAUUAUUAAUGGUUAUUCCAAGUGUGGAUAUAUGAAAGGGGCAAUGGAGAUGAAAAAAUUGAUGGAAAGGAGGGGACUGAAACCGGAUCUUUUCACUUAUACAGUUAUUGUGAGUGGUUAUGCAAGUGGUGUUCAGAUGGAGAAGGCUUGCAAAAUACUGUCUGAAGCCAAAAAUAAGCACUCUAAGUUGAGUCCUGUGGCUUACCAGUUACCACACACUUAUUCGUGUUUAUUGCAAACAUGAACAGUUUGACAAGGCUUUGGAGUUACUAACAGAGAUGAAGGAAUUUGGGGUCCAACCUAAUGUGGAUAAGUACAAUAAGUUGAUCCAAUCUCUAUGCUUAAAGGCAGAUUGGGAAACAGCAGAGAAGGUGUUGGAGAAAAUGGAGGAGGAUGGCCUUCAUCUAAAUGGAAUCACAAAAGGCCUUAUCAGAGCAGUUAAGAAGGAGGGGUUGCAGAAAGAAGUAAGCGUUGAAACCUGAAUUAUUUUUUGGUAUGGAUACCACAUGCAGAUGCUCAAUUUUUAAAUAUGUAGUUUUUAUUUUAUAUACUAUUAUACUUUUCUUCAUAAGAUAAUCAGUGAAGCUCUCCUAUACUUUUUGGCAUGCGUUCAAUCUCUGUGCACACGAAUCAGAUUGAAAGGGAAGUUUCAUUUUGGUUCUUAUGAUCGAUUUCUUUGAUGUUCUUACCUGAAAAUAGAAUGCAUGAUUUGAAUGUCUUGUAUAUGUUGGACAUUUGUAUGCUUCAUGUAGGAAUAGAAACAAAUUGAUUGUGUUUUCAGUAGUCUGAAUUUUAAUUUUGUCUAAUAAAUGAAUCCAUUUAGGCUUUUAGCUGAGUAGAGUAUAUUGAAUCCAUUCCCAUCGUUAGAAAUGUUUCUCUAUUUGGAUUUUGUUAAUUCAUUUUAAAAAUUGCCAUUGCUGAAAUAGAUGGACUUGCUUAUGCAUUAUAACUUUUUAUAGGAUAUACUUUUUUAAUACAUUCAGUUUUAUUUUUAAGCAUUUCCUUCUUGGAUUGUUAUUAUCCUUCCUUUUGAACUUUAAUUUGAGGAUUUUUUUAUUUAACUUUGGAUUCAACUAAUAGGUGAUGUCCAAAGAGGUGAACCAACCUGUUUGGUAAACCCAUCAAAACUGCAGCUGUUAGGCCAUCUAUCAGCAGCAGUUUUAUCAGCUCCAUUUUUAGAGUGUAGCUGCUUUGAUUUUAUUUUUUAUUUUGA